AAAUAAUCUCUACUAAAUAUCUAAAAAAAUAAAAUUAUGUGCCUAUUAGAAUUUGAACCAAGUCACCAAAAUCAUUAAAUAACACUCUUAUCACGAAACUACAAGUGUUUAAUCAUAUAAAAAUGUAUCCAAUUUUUUUUUAGUUCUUCGAAAAGAGAUUUAUGAUACAUUUAAAAGAAAAAAUAAUAACUUAAAAGGGGCUGAAGCCCCUCCUAAGCCUUAAUUGAGUCUGCCCAUGUCUUUAGCAAUUACUCAAUAGCUCAAUUGUAAAUACUAAAUACUUCCCAUCUCAUAAGCUGGGUGGAAAUUAUGGUGGUGGUUUUGACAUUUUCUCGAAAUAUUUAGGUGUCAAUAAUGCAUUCCUACAGUGUGUGUUAGAGAUUUCAAAAUAUUUGUAGAUUUCUAUCAAUUAAAAAGUUUUUUCAAAAGGCUACUUAUUCCUUCUUAUUAGUUUCAUAACCUUUAAUGAUAUAUAGUAACUAGAACUUAUUGUAGUAAAUUACUCGGAUUCAAACACAGUUUAUUUUCCAAAAUUAUCAACUCAAAUGCUAGUUUCCAUGGCUUCGAAAAAAGUUAUCCUUAAUAGUAAUCUUAAUCAAGACAUAUCAACAAAAGAUGAUAUUAUUAUUCUACUACAACUACCAAACGAGAGGCCCUCUCCAGCUGCAAACUUCUUGAAAUAGUUGGCAAUAAAUUGGUAAGCUUUUAAUUAGUUUGGCCCCUCCCCAAAAUGGACAAUGAAAUGAUGCAACGCGGCAUUAGGUGCUGCUUGCUGGUGCUCGACAUACAUGAGUUAUGUGGCCGUGAGAAAUUGUGUUCAAUUUGCGACCCAAGAACCUGCAUAUGCAUGCUAGCUGCUGCGAUGGUGAUGUGAGCGACCGUGAAUUGUGAUGGUGUUCGAAUUAAAUUACUCCACCUUCAAGCUGGUCCUACUCGGCCGACGGCUACUCUUGCUUAGAGAUGGCCAAUGGGUUGUACAGUACGGUACGACACGAGCAUAUUUUGGUGGAGCAUGCGGCACGCACGUGGUUCAAGCCGGACUUAUAAUUUUGGGCACGCGGACCUUAAAAGUACGACACGAUUAAAGAUGAAGUCAAGCACGAUACGAUAAAAAAGCCUAUAAUAAGCACAUUUUAUUUUUUAA
RNAcentral lists this long non-coding RNA (1144 nucleotides) under Citrus x clementina. RNAcentral's name for it is "Citrus clementina (C. clementina) long non-coding RNA (CCLE_LNC000757)". The record is from RNAcentral. Lineage: Eukaryota; Viridiplantae; Streptophyta; Magnoliopsida; Sapindales; Rutaceae.